AUAUUAUUUUCGUUUUUUACAAACAGAAAGUGGUACUGUAAAAUAACAAAGAGAUUUAAAUUGAAAUUCAACUGAGCGGAAAUGAUAUCCAUUUAACCUGUUAUACGUUGAAAAUAUUAAAAAUUUUAAAAGUUCAGAUGUGUAUAUGUAUGUUAGAAUUGCGGCACGAAAGAAUAAUUUUAAAAGUUAGAAAAACAUUGUACGUUUCAAACAUGGCAGAAGUUCGAUAAUUUUCAAAUAAAAAUGCUAAAACCUUUAUUUAUUUUUGUCGAGCUAUUUCAAAUUUAAACGCAAAUAACAUUAUUUACUAUUUUGAAUUCGAAUAAUAAUAUCGAUAGUGUAAUUAAUUAUUCGUUAGAGAAAGAAUUUUAAACGAUGGAAUUAUCUGGAUAGUCACGUAUCACAGUACACUCCGUUAUCGAAUAUCGAUAAUGAAAAUUUAAAGGGCCUUCGACGCUUUCAUUUUCCUCUUCACAUCGCUUUGUGAUAAUCCGAGAUCGUUCGUGGAAGAAGAUUAUCGUUAACCCUCUAUAUCAUAGAUUCGUGUGUUACGAUAUAUGAAAAUUAAAAUUAAAAUCUGAACAAAUUUUUCAAGUAAUCAGAAACGAGUAAACGAUUCAAAGAAAACAAGGCUGUAACGGAAAAAAUUUACAGUGACGUCUUGUAUGAUUGAACUAAUAUUAUUAGUGAUUAUUAUUAUUAGAUUGUGAUUGAUAUUAAUAAAUUUUCUUGUGUAAUAUUUGAUAAUAAGGUGAAAAUGAAAUUUUAUUAAUAAAAUUUUAGUGAUCUGAUUAUCUUAUUUCAUAUAAAAUUCUAAAAGUGAAGUUCAUAACCUAUAACUCAUAAUACGUGAAUUUAUUAAUAUUAUUGAUUACUAAAUCAUUAUACAAGAAAGUUUUAAAAUCUAAGUUUAAACUAUUAAAAUUGUAUUUUCGAAAUAUGUUUAACCGCAUAAAUGAGUUUUUUAUUGAAAAUAAUUGUUUGUGUCUCAUUGUAUACAUCAAUAUUCCAUUCUCGAAGGUUAGGUUAAUUUCUUUAACUCGUUCUACUUAAAGCAUUGCUAUAUUUGUCCUGUGUUCCUGUGCAAGUUCUUAUUACUUCAGUCGUCCUCAUCAUUUAACCUUAUGGAUAUAUAAUUUAUGAUUCACCAACAACAGAUCAUUUCCUCAUCCAUAUUGAUGUAUUGUACAUGACAAUCCCUCGAAAACGAAAUAUCAGCCCACUGACAAUACGAACGCAAAUAAUCGACAUUUGUAAUUCAAUUGAAAAUCACGAAGGCUGAAUAACAUCAGAAGAAUCUUCCAAUGUGAAUGAUUCAUUCUUCCUCCAAUGAAUACGAAAUUUAUCGAAUUAUUGGAUAGAAAUUAACAAACUUGUAAAAUUUCCAAUAAAUUUGAAGUUUUCGGAUAUCGAAGUUACAAACAAAACAACAUUUCGAUCGGUUUACAAUGCUCGACGAAUAAACAAUGAAAAAAACGAAAAAAAAAAGAUAAAAAGUAUUUAAAAAAAAAUAAAUUGACAAAGGAAAAGGGAAACCAAAAACAGAGAAAAACACAUCGAAUGCAACGAUAUAAAACGAGAACUAUUCGAUGAAAGAGGUUGUAGAUUGGAGUAAAUUCACUUUAUUACUUCAUGAGUAAGCAAGAGACAAGGGAAGCGAGUAGUUUAUUGAGAAUUACUGUGAUAAAUAAGGCGGGAGCAAGCAGUGGAAGAGGUUACACUGAAGAGUGGGGAAUGGCAACGCGAAGAGAACGAUCUCCACUCCAUGGAUACUCCUCGUAAUGUGUACCGUAUGCAGCUACAUCUACACGCAUACGCUAGCAUCUCUGAGUGCAUACGUUUACGCGUGUUCAUGUAAACGUUCUCUCUCCCUUCUCCUUCUCUCUCUCUCUGUCCCCUCCCUUGUAUCCCCACUCCAUUUCUAUACGCGCGCGUGUAUUUAUAUGAUACACUAUUCAAGUGCGCGUGCGGAGAAUUCAGUUUCGUAUGUGCACACGAACGAUACGUAUACAGACGGCGUUUCACGAAUAGGAUUACACUCGUCCAACAUUAAAUAGACUCUUGUAUUCGCGAUAAAGUUAUUUUUACGAUCGUCGUGAAGACAUUCGUCGAGUUAUCCUCCAUGAAAAAGCAUCAGCAACAAUUUCAGUUGCAACCGACUAGGUAGGGAGGAAAUUUUUCUCCGGCCAGACGUGAGGUUGAACACACUGUAGAGCAAUGACGAGGAGUGGGGGUAGGGCUAUACCGCAUGUGUAUAUAUACACCAAUCUACAGAGACCGAAUGGUCAAUGCUUGCUUGGCACUGUCACACAAAUAUGACACCAGGAUCGAACGGAAUUCAAUACUGGUUUGAAAUUUGUAAUCAGAUUGACGGCAAAUUUCCGAUGAAUCGUGACAACAUCAUCUACAUAUAUGGAGAGGACGGAGAUAUUCGGAUGACAGAUGCAAAUGUGGAGAGAACCAGGAGGAAGGAGUGUGAGAAUAGAUGAAAGAAAUGCAUUCGAGGCAUGUAAUCCGUUUAUAUUCCCUGUGAUUGACCGUUCUCCCAUCAGUCCCUGUUACACGAGAACGUAACUCUUCGUUGAAAUGUUUCCCGCCCCCAUUGUAACAAAAUGGAAUAUACAUACAAGAUAAAAAUAAUAUGAAAGUUUUUGUUCGUAUUAUUCAUAAUUUCAAUUUAUUCAAAUCUGAAUUUAAUAAGAUAAGUUUUAUCAUAAUAAUCCAAAUCCAUUUAAAUUUUUUAAUGAUUUAAUUUAUGUUCGAUAAUUUAUAAUAAUUCAUUAUUUUUGUUUUCAGUAAUUUAUCGUAACAAUAAUUUUACGUCUUUAUCUUUUAUAAAUGGUUACAUUAUUUCCCAUCUUUACGAGGUUACGUUUUAAUUACGAUUCCGAGUUUCUACAAAGCUCAUAAAGUUUAAAUGGAAGCACGCAUCGUACGAUGAAAAAAAGAAAAGAAAAGAAGAAAAAAAAGUACAAUAUAUCUUUAGUAACAUUUAUUGAAACUCUCCACGGAAAUCAUGACACGUAUGAUGACGAAUAGGUUUUAUUUUCUCGGCCGAUCGAAAGAGGCGGGGAUGGAAUCUGGAACUUCACCCUCCGCCCGUCAAAAGAUAAAAUACAAGAUAUACAGGAAGUAGUAAGUAAAUAAAACGAACCUCGAACAAGUAGUAACCUGCUACAUGAUAUACGACCGAUCUUUCACGUUCCCGUGCCGGUUGAUAACUCGAUUUGUCAAUAUCAGACGGGGACACUAUCGAAUUUAUUUUUUUUUUAUACAAAUCCCGAUUCACCGUCGCAAAGUAAAUUCUUUCGCCUCGUGUGACGAGAACUCCACGGCACGAUUUCAUAUUCCAACGAAGGAAAGUAUUUUGCAUAAUUUAUUUCGCUGCAACUUCUUUUCCACCUUGCGUCGCCCUUUUCCGCCCACCCCCACCCAAC
RNAcentral lists this long non-coding RNA (3437 nucleotides) under Apis dorsata (giant honeybee). Its description in RNAcentral is "uncharacterized LOC102671679". The record is from RNAcentral. Lineage: Eukaryota; Metazoa; Arthropoda; Insecta; Hymenoptera; Apidae.